UAAUAAGUGUUUUAUGGCACUUUUUAAAUCCAUAUCCACCUUGUGUGCAAUGUCAGUCGAUCUUCUUCAUGGAGAUCGACCAAACAUCAACCUUUAUCUUUUAACUCUUUGUCUGAAAAAUAUUAUGAAUAAACAAUUCAAAAUACAACUUUCAACAACGGAUCUCUUGGCUCUCGCAUCGAUGAAGAACGCAGCGAAAUGCGAUACGUAAUGUGAAUUGCAGAAUUCAGUGAAUCAUCGAAUCUUUGAACGCAUAUUGCGCUCUUUGGUAUUCCGAAGAGCAUGCUUGUUUGAGUAUCAGUAAACACCUCAAAGCUUUUGGAUUUUUUAAUCGAAAAGCUUUGGACUUGAGCAAUCCCAACACCAAUCUUUUUGAGAUCGGUGGCGGGUUGCUUGAAAUGCAGGUGCAGCUGGACAUUCUCCUGAGCUAAAAGCAUAUUCAUUUAGUCCCGUCAAACGGAUUAUUACUUUUGCUGCAGCUAACAUAAAGGGAGUUUGACCGUAUUGGCUGACUGAUGCAGGAUUUCACAAGGGUCGGCAACGAUUCUUGUUAAACUCGAUCUCAAAUCAAGUAAGACUACCCGCUGAACUUAAGCAUAUCAAUAAGCGGAGGAAUCGCGAUCUUGGUCAUUUAGAGGAAGUAAAAGUCGUAACAAGGGUUCCGUAGGUGAACCUGCGGAAGGAUCACUAGUGAUUAAAUCGAGCGUGUCUUCAUUGACCGCUCACCCUUCUCACCAUCCACAUACACCUGUGCACUGUUUAGCCUGAGCCGGUUUUCCGGUCCAGGUUAUCAUUUCAUACAAACUCUAGUCUUAUGAAUGUAAACGUUUUAAUAACAUAAUA
Molecule: unclassified non-coding RNA, 843 nt
Filed under: soil metagenome
Description: partial contains internal transcribed spacer 1, 5.8S ribosomal RNA, and internal transcribed spacer 2
Rfam family: 5.8S ribosomal RNA (bases 147-300)
Source: RNAcentral